GAUGAACGCUGGCGGCGUGCCUAACACAUGCAAGUCGAACGGAGAUUACGGACGGAAGUUUUCGGAUGGAAGACUGUAAUUCUUAGUGGCGGACGGGUGAGUAACGCGUGGGCAACCUGCCCUAUACAGGGGGAUAGCAGCUGGAAACGGCUGGUAAGACCGCAUAAGUCGGCGAGACCGCAUGGUUUUGCCGGGAAAUGAGCAAUCAGGUAUAGGAUGGGCCCGCGUCCGAUUAGCCAGUUGGCAGGGUAAAAGCCUACCAAAGCAACGAUCGGUAGCCGGACUGAGAGGUCGGACGGCCACAUUGGGACUGAGACACGGCCCAAACUCCUACGGGAGGCAGCAGUGGGGGAUAUUGCACAAUGGAGGAAACUCUGAUGCAGCGACGCCGCGUGAGUGAAGAAGUAUUUCGGUAUGUAAAGCUCUAUCAGCAGGGAAGAUGAUGACGGUACCUGACUAAGAAGCCCCGGCUAACUACGU
RNAcentral lists this ribosomal RNA (480 nucleotides) under uncultured bacterium. RNAcentral's name for it is "partial 16S ribosomal RNA". It matches the Rfam family "Bacterial small subunit ribosomal RNA", at positions 28 to 506 of the family's 1533-position model. The record is from RNAcentral.